GUCGAGCGGCAGCGGGAAGUAGCUUGCUACUUUGCCGGCGAGCGGCGGACGGGUGAGUAAUGUCUGGGAAACUGCCUGAUGGAGGGGGAUAACUACUGGAAACGGUAGCUAAUACCGCAUGACCUCGAAAGAGCAAAGUGGGGGAUCUUCGGACCUCACGCCAUCGGAUGUGCCCAGAUGGGAUUAGCUAGUAGGUGAGGUAAUGGCUCACCUAGGCGACGAUCCCUAGCUGGUCUGAGAGGAUGACCAGCCACACUGGAACUGAGACACGGUCCAGACUCCUACGGGAGGCAGCAGUGGGGAAUAUUGCACAAUGGGCGCAAGCCUGAUGCAGCCAUGCCGCGUGUGUGAAGAAGGCCUUAGGGUUGUAAAGCACUUUCAGCGAGGAGGAAGGCAUCACACUUAAUACGUGUGGUGAUUGACGUUACUC
RNAcentral lists this ribosomal RNA (430 nucleotides) under Rahnella sp. RNAcentral's name for it is "bacterial SSU rRNA". It matches the Rfam family "Bacterial small subunit ribosomal RNA", at positions 61 to 480 of the family's 1533-position model. The record is from RNAcentral. Lineage: Bacteria; Pseudomonadati; Pseudomonadota; Gammaproteobacteria; Enterobacterales; Yersiniaceae.